GUGGCUGCCGGGAAAGCGAUGGCGGCGGCAGCGGGAUCUGCUCCGACUCUGUUCCUGUGCUGGAGAGCAGGCCCUGAGGUGUCCCUGAGCAAUGGCCCGGAGGUGAGCCCAGAGCUGGCCCUGAGGUGGCCCUGAGAAGAAGUGGAAGGCAGAGGUGGUGCUGAGGCAGGAGAGCCCCGUGCUGGGGAAGAGGCUGAGCUGGGAGUGCCCAGCAGCGAGAAGGUGCUGUGUCCAUGCCCUGUGUGCCAGGAUUUGUCCUUCCCAAAGCUUGGGCGGAUGGAGGAGGAGGCUGCAAGGAAGAUGCUGCAGGCCCCCCAGGCAGGUGAGGAGGAAGUCAGUGCCCCUUUGGCCCUGUCUUGUGGUGCAUCUGUUGAGCAGCCUCCCAGCAGGGAGAAACCCUUCAGGUGCUUGGAAUGUGGGAAGGGCUUCAGCUGCAGCUCCAGCGUGAUCCGACACCAGCGCAUCCACACUGGGGCACGGCCCUACACGUGUGGGGAAUGUGGGAAGAGGUUUCAGACCAGCACACAUCUCCUCCUGCAUGAACAGACGCACACAGGAGAGAGGCCCUUCCACUGCACUGAGUGUGGGAAGAGCUUCACCCAGAACUCCACCCU
Long non-coding RNA from Myiozetetes cayanensis, 614 nucleotides. RefSeq lists it as uncharacterized. NCBI's taxonomy places the organism in Eukaryota, Metazoa, Chordata, Aves, Passeriformes, Tyrannidae. The transcript is spliced from 3 exons. The record is from RefSeq and is a predicted model, not a curated record.